GAUGAACGCUGGCGGCGUGCCUAAUACAUGCAAGUCGAGCGAACGGACGAGAAGCUUGCUUCUCUGAUGUUAGCGGCGGACGGGUGAGUAACACGUGGAUAACCUACCUAUAAGACUGGGAUAACUUCGGGAAACCGUAGCUAAUACCGGAUAAUAUUUUGAACCGCAUGGUUCAAAAGUGAAAGACGGUCUUGCUGUCACUUAUAGAUGGAUCCGCGCUGCAUUAGCUAGUUGGUAAGGUAACGGCUUACCAAGGCAACGAUGCAUAGCCGACCUGAGAGGGUGAUCGGCCACACUGGAACUGAGACACGGUCCAGACUCCUACGGGAGGCAGCAGUAGGGAAUCUUCCGCAAUGGGCGAAAGCCUGCCGGAGCAACGCCGCGUGAGUGAUGAAGGUCUUCGGAUCGUAAAACUCUGUUAUUAGGGAAGAACAUAUGUGUAAGUAACUGUGCACAUCUUGACGGUACCUAAUCAGAAAGCCACGGCUAACUACGUG
Molecule: ribosomal RNA, 497 nt
Filed under: uncultured bacterium
Lineage: Bacteria
Description: partial 16S ribosomal RNA
Rfam family: Bacterial small subunit ribosomal RNA
Source: RNAcentral